Molecule: long non-coding RNA, 340 nt
Organism: Etheostoma spectabile (orangethroat darter)
Lineage: Eukaryota; Metazoa; Chordata; Actinopteri; Perciformes; Percidae
Exons: 3
Source: RefSeq, a predicted model, not a curated record
CGGAGCUGAAGCUCAGAGCUGAGGCAUGAGGCGAGAGGAGUGUGAGACAGGUUUCAAGGCUGCAGCAGCACACUCUUGGAAGGAGACGCUACAGCUAGCGGCCUGCUAGCUUUUGAAAGACUGGAGCGACUCAACUAAGGAAAAGACGACUUUUAAACUUUCUGUGCAGGUCCAGAAAUUGAUGGGAGUGAGAAAAACACAGUUGGACUGUGACUUUGAGGAGUCAGGAAGUGAUUCCUCUGGGUCUGAAUUAUGCAGCAAGAUGAACCCAGAUUACAUAAGAAAGCUUCUGUACACAAUGGAACAAGGGGCCUCCACCUUCACGGGAAAGACACAAUUG